CGCUGCCUUGGACAAAACGCUGCUGGUAUUGGCUGGGCGGCUUUAAUUACCACCUCCUUCAGAGAGUCUGCGUUCCUGUCCCAGUCCCCUGAAGCUGGGAUGGCGUACCACUGCCGCCGGGUAAUACUGCACAUACACUACAUGGACGGCGGCGCCCCCCCUAUGCCGAGUCUCCACAGCGCCCAGGGCAUAUGCCCCACUCACUCUGCACUAGUUACGCCUCUGGCCGCCACCCCAUAACAGAACCAGAAGAAGAAGUGUGCACGGACCGUGUCCACCGCGCCACGAUGCCCUGUGAGUCCCUUUAUCCCCGUGACAACCGUCGGGCUGGACGGUAUACACACGGAUGGUUACCAUGGGAACCAGAGCGUCUGAUGACGCGAUGCCGGAUCACGUGACCGGAGCUGAUGCACCACGCUUUCACGUUUACAAGCAGGGAAGGAAAUGUAUGCCUGUCCCCGGAAACGCUGCUGCACCUCCCGCUGGCGGGACCUCCUCACCUCCUUCAUGUAUAAAGGUACUCACUCUGUGUUACCACUUCACUUUUGUUGUGUUCACCUUGACAAAGGGGUGGUUGCACCCCGAAACGUUGGAUUGUCUUUGUACCACUAUGGAAUAAACACUUUUGCUUGGAAA
This is a long non-coding RNA of Pseudophryne corroboree (corroboree frog), 636 nucleotides long. RefSeq lists it as uncharacterized. The transcript has 2 exons. Lineage: Eukaryota; Metazoa; Chordata; Amphibia; Anura; Myobatrachidae. The record is from RefSeq and is a predicted model, not a curated record.